Hippopotamus amphibius kiboko is the source of this 8338-nucleotide long non-coding RNA. RefSeq lists it as uncharacterized. Lineage: Eukaryota; Metazoa; Chordata; Mammalia; Artiodactyla; Hippopotamidae. The transcript is spliced from 5 exons. The record is from RefSeq and is a predicted model, not a curated record.
UUCCCCAACCAGGGAUUGAAACUGUGCUCCCUGCAGUGGGAGCGCGGAGUCUUAACCACUGGACUGCCAGGGGAGUCCCUGGUUUGACUUUUAAGAGGCCAUCACUGUACCUUGUGGCCUCUGUCCACGUUGGGUGAAAUUUACAAAGGGUUGCAGGGAUUAAAAACUUACAUUAAUUUGAAAGCUAAUAAACCUGUCAGAGAACAGGUUGUUGCUUUUCCUAUACUGAAUCUUGUGCCCCCAGCUCCCUUCCCAUCUACUGUAACAGUUAGAUUGUGUAGAGGAGGUUGAGACUCAUCAGACUGAGAUUUCUGCUCUCUGUCUCAGGAGAAGUUAAGAAUCACUGGUGAUCAUUUCAUCUUUCAGCAUACUUGUUAGUGGAGAGUCAUGGAGCUGAGGCACAGGUUCUGUAGAAACCAUGAAUAGCAAAGCAGGGUCUGGUCUGCCCAGUGGAGGAGGUCACCUUGGAAAACAUCUGGUGUAGACUGUGUGUUUCAAACCCAAGAAGAAUAGGAAAACCAGGGAUGGAAGGAGACACUGCUUUAAAUCACAAAAUGCAGCUCUCCUGCCUUAAUAGAUAAUUAGGAUUUUAUAACUAGGUAAUAAGUGAUAAAAACAAGGUUUGGGGUGGCUUAAAAUCUGUGUUGUCCUGAGUGGUAGUCUUCUUACAACUUUGAACUAUGUGAGGGAGAAAGCUUGUCUCUCAGGAAUCCUGUUGCCAGCUCUGUCUGGAUUAUCUAGCUUGUGUCACACCAUGGCCUCUCUCUCAAGCACUUCCUGCUAGCGUCUACCUUUAGCCCUGUCACUCACCUGGGUGGGGAGGAAGGAAGCAUGAAAUGAAAAGCAUCCGUUUUUCUAUCUAUAAAAAGCAGGGAGGCCAAUGUGACUGGACCUACAGGGCUGGCUGGCAGCCUGUUUAUGUUUGCCUUCCCUGGGCCCAGACCCAGGAAGAGAGAAAGAUGGCUUCUCAAACCCAGAGUUGGGAGGGCAUUCUAGACUUUUGCAGGACCAUUCUAGACUGAAGGUCGAGCCCCUAACUAUUAGUGGCUUAGGCUAGUCCCUUGCAUCCUCAUUUCUUUCACUCUCCGCCUCGUGAGUUCUUCCCUCUGGCUACCUCUCAGGAAUCUCAACUCAGUUCCACCUUCUGUAGAUACAUCACAGUAGCUGUGAGUUUGGAGCUAGACAUUGACUAGCUGGGUCAUUUGGGCAAAGUCCUUAACCUCUCUGGGCCUCAGUUUUCUCCUCAGUAGAUAGGAAUAAGGACACCAACUUCCUGGUGAGGCUGAAAGAUGAUCUAGAUUAGACGCUUGGUGUGGUAUUUGGUGCUCGGUAAAUGGUAGCUAUCCUCAUUUGUACUGUUACCCUUGGCCUUCCCCGUUUGUGGGUAGCGUGUCUAGGGCUUCUGUUAGUGGUGGUUUAUGGCAGGUUUAUCCAUCCUACUGGCAUUCUUCAGUUGCAGCUAGAACAGUGACAUGAUGACAGGUCAGAUCUGGUCGUCAGAGCUCCAACCACCUGCUUCUGCUGUGUGCUUCCCUCUUAGCUAAAUGUUAAUUGCUCAGGCACACCCAGUUCCUUGGCUCGGGUGUCCUAGCCGUGGGUAUAUGGCUCAGCUGUCGUCUUAAGCCCCUCCAGAAAAACAAAAAGGAGAGAGAGUUCAGUGGCAGUGUACCAUCACUUGGACUUGGAUAUUUCUUGACUUCUCGGCGUGCGCAGCCCACUUACACAUAACAGUAUGGAAGGCAGGUUCUGCUUGGUGGGAGGCUAGAUCUUGGCAACACUUUCAUAGUGUUGAACACAAGAAGCCAGUCGCCCAUUUAUGCCUUAGUGACGCUGGCAAGGGGCUGGCGUUUUGCUCCCUUACCUGCUGCAGCAAUGGUUUCGGGAAAGAGGGAGCAUCACAGCACUAAUAGGUGAAUGGGACCCAGCUUCAGAGCUUCACGGAGUGAUGGGCAGCACAGCCCAGAGACACCCUCUGCUGUGAGCUUUAGGCCAUCGGCUGGGCAUCUCCCUCACUGUUUUAGAAAUUGUCAUACACAUCAUUAUCUGUUAUGUCGAUUUGUUCAUCGGCCAGCAUUUACUGAGGGCCUGCUAUAGACGGGCCAGGCACUGUUUGGGAUGUUUGCAGACUGUAGUGUCUUUCAUCAUGAAAAAAAUUCCUGUGAAACAGCCAUACUCUACAUUUUAUAGAGGUAACUGAAAUUUACAGUGGUUCAGUGACUUGUCCAAGGUCACACAGGUAGGUAUCAGAACCAGAAUUUUAAUUUGAGCCUUUGUCUGAUUUUCUGUGGUUUCAAUGAAACUUUAAAACAAUUGCCAGUGCCCAGGCCUCAGUGGAAGUGAUUCAAGGGUGAAAGAGUCUUUUAAUCAGAUUUCCAAGUUCACUUUUCAUCCUGUUGUCCAUAUGCAAGAACCAAAUAGUAGCACCAAGGCUUGGUUUGUUUGUUUUUAUUGAAAUACAGUUCAUUGUAUAACAUUAGUUUCAGGUGUACAACAUAAUUAUAUAUUGUGAAAUGAUCCAUCACCACACAGUUACCAAAACAUCUUUCUCUUGUGAUGAAAGUUUUUGAGAUCUACUCUCUUAGCAACUUUCAGAUAUACAAUCUGGUAUUAUUAACUGUAGUCACCAUGCUGUACAUAACAUCCCCAGGACUUACUUAUUUCGGUUUGUUUUUUAAGUGGUGAUUUUCCUGGUCAGGAUUUCAGUACAUUCCUUUCCCUGGUGAACUCAAACCAGCUGGCAGUAGAGGGCUUACUUGACUGAUCCACCCAACCUCGGGCAGAGAAGGGGGAAGAAAAAGAUGGCUGGGUCUGCUCCUAUGCAGCUGUGAAGUGGGGGCCGCCGGCACCGCACUGAGGUAGGUGGUCCAUAGGAGUUUGAGCAUUUAUGAUGGGCCCUGAUGCAAGGCAGGGACUCUACCUCAACCUGGCCCAGUAGAUGUCAGUCUCCAUAGCUUCACCAGUCUGGUAAAUUAUCCCCAUGGGGAGAUGUAAAGGAGAGGCCUGCAUCAGAAGGUGUUGCCCCAAUACACCCAUCCCCUGAGGGCUCAGGAGGGGAAGUGGGGCUGGGAAGAGAAGGCUGUUCCACUAUAGAGGCCUCUGGUCAAUCAGAACUUGACAGAUUUUCCAGACUGAGUUGGGUACAAACUUCCCUGGAUGUGACAUCCAGCUAGACUCACUUCAGCUACCAAACAGGAGGGUAAAGUAAGCAGUCGUGUGGUGUUAUUUCUACCAACACGCAGUCUUGCAGCUGGCCUGAGCAAGGGCUGGAUGUGAACUAGGGGAGCCGGAUGCACUGGUCCUGGGAUUCUACCCACAGUGCCAAGCUGGCCCCGGGAUGCUGUGCUGUGAUUUCCCAAAGGUCCUUGAGGAAAUCCCUGCUCCCUGCAGUCCUGCAGUCCUCUCAGGAGAAGUGGAAGUGUCCCUGGAGGAUAUUUCAGCCAACUUUUGGAGGCCACGGAAUCAGAAGAGGCAUCACGAGCCUAGGAUACAGAUGUCCCUUGCUUGCUUCCGCCAGGAGAUGAAAUGAGGACCCAGACUAGUCAAGGUCAUGGAGAUAAACAGGGCAGAACCAAGCUAGCCCCCAAGUCAGCAUUUGGCUACCUUCUCGGCCAGCAAAGCUGUUUACUCCCUGGGAAAUGUUCAGAGACCACAAGUUCAGCCAUCUAGGAUGCCUUGCUCUCCUGCCUGUCCCCCAAGCACAACCGUGGAAGGAAGGAAUGACGUGUGGAGCCACGUAGCUACAUUAGGAGACUUGGAGCAUGCAGGCCGGGGCCUCCCUCACAGCCUUGGAGCCUUCCUCCCUACAGCCUGGAUUCCUGCAGAAGUGUAGGCACCAACUGAAAAGGUUUAAUUGGCUGGUAUCACAGCUGCUGUUCCUGGCCUGGCUCCCCACUAGACCACAGGCCCUGGAAGGGCAGAGGCCAUGGCUUGUGCAUCCUGGUCUCCUCAGUGCCGCACAGAAACAUACUCUGUAGAGACAAGCUGCAUGAAUGAGCGGGAGAGUGCGGGCCUGCCUAGAGAUGCUUCCACCACCUGCUCUUGACUUCCUGUGCAUGGGUGUGCACGCAUGCUCGUGUGUCAGGGACGGGGGAUGAAGCUACACCAAGUGUUUCCCAAAAAGCAGCUGUAUACAAGCGCCAGAUGAGGAGAUGAGGCCCAAAGAGCUUAAGCUCAGAAGGUCACAGAACCAGGACGUGGCAGAACUGGGAUUUGAACCCAGGCCUUGCUGGCUCCAUACUGAAUGCUCUGUCUCUUCAGCAGCGAUGCAUCUCUGUGUGACCCCAAACCUGGCCCCUCCUGCCCCCUGCCCACCCACGCUGGCUCACCUUGCAGGAACGCAGGAUAAUGAUGCCCGAGUUUUUAUAGCUCUUCUUCUUCUUUUGCUUCUUGGGGUUGAUACACUCAAACUCCCGCUGGGCAACAUGGGAGGAGAAAGAGAAGCUCAGCUUGGGGCUUCUGCAGGGACUGACCCUCCCCUGGACCGCAGAAUCUACUCCACAGCGCUGAUCAAGGGGCAGCAUGCCUCCUCCAGGAAGCCUUCCCAGAAAUGGUUCCUGCCACCUUGGGCUCAUGCCAAGCUUUAUCUGCCCAAGGUAAGAUGUGCAUCUGCCCUCCGUCCCCAGACAAUUCAUCCACGUCAUGUCCACUCGUGUGCCCAGAACUGUCGCCCAGGGCCUGGCUUCUUGGAGUUAAAGGGACAGUUCCCGAGUGCUCACUAUGCACUAGGCGCUUUACCUGUAUAAUCUCAUUUCAUUCCCACUCUACUCUUCUGCCUCCACUUGACGGAUGGGGAAACUGAGGCUCAGAGAGAUUAAAUAUCUUGCUCAAGGUCAUAAGGCAGCAAGGUGGGAUCUGAGCCCCAGUCUGUCUGAUUCAAAAACAGGUGCCCCUUCCCCAUCCCCUGCUGAGGUCUUGGGGUCACGCACAUGUGCACAUCUUACCGGGAUGCCGUCAUGAGCCUCGCACAUCUGUGACACUGAGGUCUGGAAUUCACCAAUGAAGUCGUGGCCCCCGUCAUUGUCAUAGUCGUAGCACAUAACCUGGAGUGGGUCCAGUGAGGUCACCCCAGAGCUGCCUGCAGGAGGCACUCACCAGCUCCCUGAGCAAUGGGGGGUGGUACCUCCCUCUCCCCCCAGAUCUGACUAGCUGGCUUGGGAUGAUGCCAGUAGCUCCUAAACUGCAUCCUGCAGGAAGCCUUCCAGGAUUGAUGGGAAAAGGAGAAAGGGUGCCUACUCUAGUAUUGGAGGCCAUUCCCUCUGGUGCAGGAAGCCGCACACCUCAACCAGCUGCUAAUCUAUCUUCGGUUGUGGCCCACCUGGCCUCAUGGGCCAUGGUCUGGAGUCCUCCCUUGACUGGUAUUUUUUUCCUAAGAUGGGCACAAAAAGUCCCAGCUUGAUAUGCUCUCUACCUUAGCUGCCAUGACACUCCUAGAAGGAAGGCAGGAAUUAUCAUACCCAUUGUACUGAUGGGUAAACUGAGGCCCUGAGUGGGAAGCACUUUGCCCAAAGUCUCACAGUGGCAAUAGCAGACCCAGAACUAGAACCCAAGUUUCUCGGUACCCUGUCUGGGGAUCCCUACAUGGUCUCGGGGCCUUGCCCACCUCAUCUGCUCUCAGACACGGCCCUCGAGGACGGAGGGCUUUUAGAGACUAGCAAUCGUCGUCUUUGCCACAGCAACAACACCUGGUUGUUUCCAAGGUGAUUGUGCAUUCAUCAUCCUAGCUAGCAGCACACAGCCCUCCGGGAGGAACAGGACAGUCACUCUGUUUCCAUUUUAAACAAGGGGUUCACAGAGAUGAGGGCCCUGCCCAGAACACUCAGAGGGUCAGGCAGACCCGGGACAAGGACUCAGGUCUCCUGCCCCUCCCCCACACUGGUUAUUUUUUCCAUCUUAAUAAGGAGCUUUGUUGAGGCACCCCCCAGAAAGCCUCAGGUAACUGAGAGGCUGGAGCUGGCAGGGUGGGUAGCAGGGUUCCUGUAGCCCCCCUCACCUGGAUGGGCUUCUCCAUGUCUCCAUCACACAGGGACACCAAUGGCACAGUGAAUGGCUUCCACACGGGGUCCAGCGUGUACUUGAUCACCUGCAGGACAGUGAGGGGCAAGGGUGAGCUCAGGCCCAGGGGUGGCAGUGCUCUGGGGUCAGGCCAGCCCAAUGGGACAGGAAGUGGCAAGGUGGAGAGAGCCACAGCCACACUUCUGGGGAUGGAAGUGAGCAUCCCUGUGAUGGGGAGGGAAUGAGUCCUUUAGGGGCCAUCAUGGGUUUUUCUGUGCACCGCAGGACUGUGAUUGCUUAGCCCCAUCCUGAGCUGUUGGGGGUGGCCGGACUGCAGACCCACUGGCUCAGAGACCCCUGGAGCCCCCCACACCCACCUCAGUCCUGUGAACCAGCAUCCACUUCCCAUCAUCUCCUGGUUUAUAGAACUCGAGAAAUGGGUCUGACUUCCCAAAGAGGUCCUGGAGAAAGCAGAAGGAUGUGGGUGAGGAAGGCAUAACUCUAACAGAUUCAGAUGGGGUGGAGGCGUGGCCCAGCUGCCUCCCCUACCCAGCAUCAGGAGUGGGAGCUGUGGGCAGGGCCAGCCUGGCCCCCUCCCCUCAACCUCUGCAGGGCUCAGCAGAGGCCCAGGGCAGUUGCAGCUGGGACCAACCAGCAUCCCCAGCAGAAACCACCCCAUCCUGGGGUUACCAGAGCUUGUGCUCAGAGACCCUGAGACCUGGAGCCUGCAGAAGUUACAAUUCCAGCAUCUUAGGUGGGGCAACACAUCAAGAGGGAGAUUGUUCCCAGGACAGGGGGAAGGCACCCAGCAGGAUGGGGUUUUAAUUUAUUUUAGUGGCGUUCUGAAAAACUGAAACUAUCCUAGCAGAAGAGUCCUUUAAAACUCCAUUUACUUAAGAAAAUGUGGACUCUAAAGAGGCUGUAUUUAAGAGGGGGAGACAUAAAAUAAAUGAGUAAAUAAUAUACAUUAGGCGGCAAUUAGUGUUAAGGAGACAGGUAAAGGAGGAGGUGGUGGGAAAUCAGGGAUGAUUGCAAUUUCAGGAAAGGCCUCACUAGGAGGUGACAUCUGAGCAAAGGCCUGAUGAGGGUGAGGGAAGGGAGAGAAAAUUCAGGUCAAAGAACAUCCCAAGCAGAGGGGACAGCAAGUGCAAAGGUCCUGAGGCAGGAGGGUGCCUUUAAUCCUAGGACAAUGAAGAGGCUGAUUUGGCUAAAACAGAAUGAAGGCUGGGAGUGUGGAAGGGGUGAGGUCAGGGAGUCAGGGGGCUGUGGACACAUCAGGUGGGGUCCUGUAGGUCAUUGUAAGGACCCAGCAUUUACACUGAGAUGGGGAGCCCCAAUGAGUGGGUUUCCAGCCAUGUCUUAACUAUAUCUAAGUGAUAGGAAACUCACUACCUGGCAAAGCAGUCCUAAUUUGGGGUGACCAGUAGGACCAUGUACUAUGGACUUGCCCCUGGAGGGGCAAUGAAGGUGGUGGCCAGAAGUCCCAGGCCACACAACCCCAGGGCUGGGGGAGGGGUGCUGCUUCUUGAUGGAGAACCCCUUCCCCUGCCUGCCUCACCUUCUUGUCCAGCUUCCUGCCCGCCAGGCUCAGCGUGAUGACCCGGUUGUCUGACAGCUCCUGGGCAGCAAUCUAUAAGGCAGAGGAACGUCGGGGGUCAGGGCCUGUUCCUGAGAUUCCCUCCAGCCUCCAUUCAGGCAGGAUGGACGUAGGUUGCCCCAGGAGUCACUUCUCCAGGGUUAGGAAGGGUGUGGAGGGGAAGGAUAGCUCCAGAUGACCUGGGACAAGUCUCUUGUCUUCCUAAAACCUGUUUUCAUCUUCCAGGAAAUGGGGGUAAUAGCUCAUCUGGAUGCGAGGAAUCAGAAUGUGACCCCAAUGUGGCUCAAGAGAGGGGCCAUGAGGUGUGUGAGGAGAUGAAGCAGGGAUCAGACACAGCGGUGGUCUCGAGCCCUGGGGAGAGGUUCUGGGCCAGGGAACAGCCUGACAGGGGCAGCCCUCCUGCAGACCCAGAGAGCACAGGCAACCACCUCAAAACACCAAGGCAUCGGAAAUUCUAACAACUACACUGUGCAGCCAGGGAAACUGAAGCCCAGGGCAGGGCAGGGACCAGCUGAGCUCCCUCUGCUGUCUCAUCAGCUCACGCCGCUCAUCCAUCCUCCAUGCCUUCCACACCAGCCAUGGCCCUCUGCCCCUGGCCAGCCAGUGAUGCACCAGCUGGGUGACCUCGAGGCUGCCAUUAACCCAAGUGGGCUGGGUACUCUCUUGGCUAGGACCUCCUCUCUUCCCACACCUCUAGAUGGCCUCAACUAACAAGCUAUUUGACCCUGAGAACCACAGACAGAGGCCAGG